UACGAAGGGGGCUAGCGUUGCUCGGAAUCACUGGGCGUAAAGGGCGCGUAGGCGGCCAUUCAAGUCGGGGGUGAAAGCCUGUGGCUCAACCACAGAAUUGCCUUCGAUACUGUUUGGCUUGAGUAUGGUAGAGGUUGGUGGAACUGCGAGUGUAGAGGUGAAAUUCGUAGAUAUUCGCAAGAACACCGGUGGCGAAGGCGGCCAACUGGACCAUUACUGACGCUGAGGCGCGAAAGCGUGGGGAGCAAACAG
This 252-nucleotide ribosomal RNA is filed under the name uncultured prokaryote. RNAcentral's name for it is "partial 16S ribosomal RNA". It matches the Rfam family "Bacterial small subunit ribosomal RNA", at positions 524 to 775 of the family's 1533-position model. The record is from RNAcentral.